Molecule: long non-coding RNA, 742 nt
Filed under: Olea europaea subsp. europaea
Lineage: Eukaryota; Viridiplantae; Streptophyta; Magnoliopsida; Lamiales; Oleaceae
Source: RNAcentral
AAACAAUAGAAACCUUGUAUUCAUCUUCUUCGGGAGGUUUAUUUACAUCAAUUACAAUGAAAAUUGAAGCUUCAUUAACAUAAACAAACCUUAAUUUAAUUAAAACGUACAGACCCUUUACCCUUGUGGCAAACCAAAGAAAAAGAUUUUCACUCCUCGGGAUUAGUCGAGCGAAACUCAAACACUUGUGUCGUAAGGAUUAAAGAAAAAAAAAAAAGACUGAGAACAACUUUACAAGUAGAAAUUUCAAGAACAAGUUAGCGAGAUCUUGGUUGAAAUAACCCCUUAAACAAAGCCAAAGCACCAAAACUUCCGAGUAGAUCCCAGGUUCAUCCUCUAGUUCUUCACUCGUUCUUGGUAUUCAGUCUUUAACCUGGGCACAGCUAUGGCGAAGAACAAGAUUCUCUAGAAAAAAAUUUAUUUUCGAAAAAUAACUUAAUAGUAAUAGCAACACCAUAUGAGUACUGAAAAUGAAACUCUUCAUGAUAUAACUUGUUCAUAAAGAAAUAAAUGUCUACUAUCAAUUCUUUGAGUCGAAUAUGAAACAUCUAAAAAUAAAGGAAACAUAAACCUAAAGAGAACUCAUUUUUUAUUUCACAUUUAUAAAAUACUGCAGAUUCCAUUUCUAAAUGCCAUCCCAAAAUUACAGGGACAAGAAAAAAAAAAAAACCAUAAAUUUCCAAGAGCGCAUUUCCAGAAUGAUUACUCCUCACCCAGAAUAAACACAUUUCCAAGAAGAUUG